RNAcentral lists this unclassified non-coding RNA (332 nucleotides) under uncultured fungus. Its description in RNAcentral is "sequence contains ITS1, 5.8S rRNA gene". The stretch from base 284 to 332 matches the Rfam family "5.8S ribosomal RNA", at positions 1 to 49 of the family's 154-position model. The record is from RNAcentral. Lineage: Eukaryota; Fungi.
UUUCCGUAGGUGAACCUGCGGAAGGAUCAUUAACACGUAUCCACGUAUCAACACUCUGUGAACUAAUCUCCCCGGCUUGGAAAAGUUGUAAACAUAGUUAGUGGUAGGUGUGCUGCCUAAAAACAGCACAUAGCUAUGUUGACUAGGGUUUCGAACCUAAGGCUUUCUGAUGUUGGGCAUAUUUUCUACCACUCUUUUUUCACGACUAUCACUACUAAAACAUUUUGACUGACAUUCUUAUGUAAGCGAAAGCUGGCAUAAGCAAGUUAUCUAAACUAAGCACAACUCUUAGCAAUGGAUAUCUUGGUUCUCGCAUCGAUGAAGAACGCAGC